Molecule: long non-coding RNA, 1202 nt
Filed under: Homo sapiens (human)
Lineage: Eukaryota; Metazoa; Chordata; Mammalia; Primates; Hominidae
Description: HSALNT0396025
Source: RNAcentral
UUUGUCCCCCUUUGUUCAGUCCACCAGGGUCUGUGGCAAAGUGGCAUCAUGAACAGGGACUUCAAGGACGUGAAUGAAGAAGGUCUGCUGGAGCAGAGGAAGUGAAGCUAACAAGAUGAACGAGGACCUAGGGACAAAUCUGCCAGCAGGGAGUAUAAGGAGAUGGACAAACCAUUUGGGUGUCCUCAAGGUGCAUGCAACCAUGGAACAGGAGACUGGAGGGAUCCAUGGCGGCCAACCAUGGGCCUGGUCCCUCCGGUAUGGGCCAUGAGCCAGCUGAGCCUGAGUGUGAAGAUGGAGAAAAGGCUGACCGGAGUCACGAGGACAUCAAACCCCAUAACCUGAGGGCAACUCAAGAAAACCACGCAGGAAGCUGAGAAAAUGCUGGAGCGUCAGGGCCAGGCAAAAACCCCUGAAUCCAUGUUCUUGGCCAUGUUAGCCAUAAUGUCCUGUGUGUCUAUAAAAUUGGAUGGACUGCCAAUCAGAAAAUGAGAGCUGCCCAACCUGGCCUUACAUUCAUUCAAUUAAUGCAAAAACAGAAAGGGGGAGAUAUUGGGAGCUGAAAACCUGAGGGUCAUGACCAACUCAGCAUUCCAUUGGAGGCUAUAUGAUCAAACAGCAAACUGUUUAUCAUGAAUGCAGGAUGUGGGCAAACUCACAUCUGUGCCUGCCACCAGAAGGUAGGCUGAGGGCAAUCACUCCCUGGCACUGUGCACCUUGAGGUUAUCUACUGGAAUAUCUGGAGCCUACUGUUCAAGGAAAGCAGACAUGCAGGCCUGCACUAAAUCAUGCAACUGGCUCAUGAUCACCUGCUCCUCCCUAUUUCCUUUACUCAAUAAAUACAAAGGGCUCUAGAAGCUCAGGGCCCUUGUUCACUAGAAGCAAGGAGCCCCCUGACCCCUUCUUUUAAAACAGAUCUUUUUAUCUUUGUCUUUAUUCCUGUGUUCAUCCUCCUUUGCUCAGUCCUCUGGGGUCUGUGGCAGAAGAUAAAAAACACUAUUACAUGAGAUUUUCCACCUUUUCAUUGUCUAUCCAUUUAUUCACAUUUUCAUUUAUUCUCAGAGAAGGAACUGUUUUAAUUCCUUUUAAACGUUUUUAUUUAGUGUUCUUUGUAAAGUUUUCUGUACUUUUCUUUCUAGAUUAUAUCCUUUUUUACUUUCUUUUCAAAAUACUUUCUAAAUAAAAUACCUACCAAUUCUAAA